This 65-nucleotide transfer RNA is filed under the name Stenophyella macreta. RNAcentral's name for it is "tRNA-Asp". The record is from RNAcentral. Lineage: Eukaryota; Metazoa; Arthropoda; Insecta; Hemiptera; Pachygronthidae.
AAGAAAUUAGUUUAAAUUAUAAAACAUUAGCUUGUCAAGUUAAAAAUAUUAUUAAAUAUUUCUUG